AGAGUUUGAUCAUGGCUCAGGACGAACGCUGGCGGCGUGCUUAACACAUGCAAGUCGAGCGAUGAAGCUUCCUUCGGGAAGUGGAUUAGCGGCGGACGGGUGAGUAACACGUGGGUAACCUGCCUCAAAGUGGGGGAUAGCCUUCCGAAAGGGAGAUUAAUACCGCAUAACAUAAGAGAAUCGCAUGAUUUUCUUAUCAAAGAUUUAUUGCUUUGAGAUGGACCCGCGGCGCAUUAGCUAGUUGGUAAGGUAACGGCUUACCAAGGCAACGAUGCGUAGCCGACCUGAGAGGGUGAUCGGCCACAUUGGAACUGAGACACGGUCCAGACUCCUACGGGAGGCAGCAGUGGGGAAUAUUGCGCAAUGGGGGAAACCCUGACGCAGCAACGCCGCGUGGGUGAUGAAGGUCUUCGGAUUGUAAAGCCCUGUUUUCUGGGACGAUAAUGACGGUACCAGAGGAGGAAGCCACGGCUAACUACGUGCCAGCAGCCGCGGUAAUACGUAGGUGGCGAGCGUUGUCCGGAUUUACUGGGCGUAAAGGGUGCGUAGGCGGAUGUUUAAGUGGGAUGUGAAAUCCCCGGGCUUAACCUGGGGGCUGCAUUCCAAACUGGAUAUCUAGAGUGCAGGAGAGGAAAGCGGAAUUCCUAGUGUAGCGGUGAAAUGCGUAGAGAUUAG
This 675-nucleotide ribosomal RNA is filed under the name uncultured bacterium. RNAcentral's name for it is "bacterial SSU rRNA". It matches the Rfam family "Bacterial small subunit ribosomal RNA", at positions 8 to 700 of the family's 1533-position model. The record is from RNAcentral.